RNAcentral lists this ribosomal RNA (497 nucleotides) under uncultured bacterium. Its description in RNAcentral is "partial 16S ribosomal RNA". It matches the Rfam family "Bacterial small subunit ribosomal RNA", at positions 28 to 507 of the family's 1533-position model. The record is from RNAcentral.
GAUGAACGCUGGCGGCGUGCCUAAUACAUGCAAGUCGAGCGAACAGACGAGGAGCUUGCUCCUCUGACGUUAGCGGCGGACGGGUGAGUAACACGUGGAUAACCUACCUCUAAUACUGGGAUAACUUCGGGAAACCGGAGCCAAUACCGGCUAAUAUAUUGAACCGCAUGGUUCAAUAGUGAAAGACGGUUUUGCUGUCACUAAUAGAUGGAUCCGCGCCGCAUUAGCUAGUUGGUAAGGUAACGGCUUACCAAGGCAACGAUGCGUAGCCGACCUGAGAGGGUGAUCGGCCACACUGGAACUGAGACACGGUCCAGACUCCUACGGGAGGCAGCAGUAGGGAAUCUUCCGCAAUGGGCGAAAGCCUGACGGAGCAACGCCGCGUGAGUGAUGAAGGUCUUCGGAUCGUAAAACUCUGUUAUUAGGGAAGAACAAAUGUGUAAGUAACUAUGCACGUCUUGACGGUACCUAAUCAGAAAGCCACGGCUAACUACGUG